UUCAAAAGCAAAGCUUCCACAACACGGAGUUUCUACUGAGAAAAAAAUCAGGAUAUAAAACCCUCCAUAUGCUGAUAUCAAAUCUGCAGUCUCUCGCUCUGAUCCGCUGACGGGACACGCCCACAGAUGACCACAUCACAUGACACUUCUGGAAGCAAGCAUUUGGACUCACAGCGCACGCAGUCAAACUUUCCUGCCAGCCUAGAUCGGAGUGGCCACUCCACAGUCGUCAGCGAUGCCCAGACGACCACAAGCCGCCCUGUCGAAGCUACAUGGGCCUCUCGGUCUGUCUUCCGUGAUUUGUGCGAACGGCUCCCAUCAAGGCGGCACAAACUCUUACAACUGCUCCCCGUUCUCGGGUCAGUCCAGCGCCGUGAGCCGCCGCCACGGGCCCUCCUGGCCAAUCACCCAGAGCCUUUCUCCAGAUGCCAGCCCGCCAAACUCGCCACUCAUUUGGGGUCUUUAGUCCAGCGGCUGUCCUCUGCUUUCUAGCCUUUUGGGGCGGAGUACUCUGGGUUUGGGCCGAAUCCGAGCUCAGCACGCCAAAUACGCAUUAAACUUUACUCCCUGUAAUUGUGUGUAAGUGUGCACUCGUGAAAUGUGUAUUCAUAUUCAUACAUUCAGGUGUUCAUACAUCAUGUUUUUUAUUAUUAUUUAUCUAUUGCUACUUUUAAUUUAUGGUGAUUCAAAAAAACAUAAUUGUGUUGCAGUAAUUAUUUAUUGUAACACAACUGUAAUGUGUAGCUGCUCUGUUCUGGUUUAGUUCUGUUUCCUGUACCUGUUUCCUUUGGUCUCUUUUUCCCGCCACUAGUUUGUUUCCAUGGUAACUGAUGAUUUACACACCUGUUUCUGGCUCGGUUAAUCAGUUUCUCGUGUUUGUAAGCCUCAGUUUCCGUAUCGUCAGUGUGUUGUUGUGUCAUUCUCCUGCGAUUUCCCUUUUGUGUUUUUGUAUUUAUUAAAGACUGUGUUUUUGUUCAAGCUCCUUCAUCGUACACUUAAUACUACAGUUACAGCCGUUUGCGUGAAAAGAAUUAAAAUAUGCUUUAUUACAGUAAUGACUCUCAAAAGUAAAGGUACCUGAGAGUAAAUGAGAAUUGUAGUGAAUAUGUGCUGAAUUGUCAUGAAAGUAACAUCACAAUCCUCCUUUUUUAUGAAAACAUGUUUUCUCAUUAUUAUUUUUAAAUAGGUAAAAUAUGACAAAGACGUGUUUUCAUGAGAUUCAAACUGC
Molecule: non-coding RNA, 1228 nt
Organism: Pimephales promelas (fathead minnow)
Lineage: Eukaryota; Metazoa; Chordata; Actinopteri; Cypriniformes; Leuciscidae
Source: RefSeq, a predicted model, not a curated record